RNAcentral lists this ribosomal RNA (518 nucleotides) under uncultured bacterium. Its description in RNAcentral is "bacterial SSU rRNA". It matches the Rfam family "Bacterial small subunit ribosomal RNA", at positions 8 to 518 of the family's 1533-position model. The record is from RNAcentral.
AGAGUUUGAUUCUGGCUCAGGAUGAACGCUAGCUACAGGCUUAACACAUGCAAGUCGAGGGGCAGCAUUGGAGUAGCAAUACUCAGAUGGCGACCGGCGCACGGGUGAGUAACACGUAUCCAACCUGCCGCUUACUCGGGGAUAGCCUUUCGAAAGAAAGAUUAAUACCCGAUGGUAUAAAGAGUUCGCAUGUUCUCUUUAUUAAAGAAUUUCGGUAAGCGAUGGGGAUGCGUUCCAUUAGAUUGUUGGCGGGGUAACGGCCCACCAAGUCUACGAUGGAUAGGGGUUCUGAGAGGAAGGUCCCCCACAUUGGAACUGAGACACGGUCCAAACUCCUACGGGAGGCAGCAGUGAGGAAUAUUGGUCAAUGGACGAGAGUCUGAACCAGCCAAAGUAGCGUGAAGGAUGACUGCCCUAUGGGUUGUAAACUUCUUUUAUAAGGGAAUAAAGUGAGGGACGUGUCCCUUUUUGUAUGUACCUUAUGAAUAAGGAUCGGCUAACUCCGUGCCAGCCGCCGC